RNAcentral lists this ribosomal RNA (506 nucleotides) under uncultured bacterium. RNAcentral describes it as "bacterial SSU rRNA". It matches the Rfam family "Bacterial small subunit ribosomal RNA", at positions 23 to 507 of the family's 1533-position model. The record is from RNAcentral.
CUCAGAGCGAACGUUAGCGGCGGGCCUAACACAUGCAAGUCGAACGCGAAAGGUCUUCGGACUGAGUAGAGUGGCGCACGGGUGAGUAACACGUAGGUAAUCUACCCUUUGGCGGGGGAUAACGUUCCGAAAGGAGCGCUAAUACCGCAUAAGACCACGGAGUCUCCGGACGCUGUGGGAAAAGGUGGCCUCUUCUUGAAAGCUACCACCGAAGGAUGAGCCUGCGUCCCAUCAGCUAGUUGGUAAGGUAAUGGCUUACCAAGGCGAAGACGGGUAGCUGGUUUGAGAGAAUGAUCAGCCACACUGGCACUGGAACACGGGCCAGACUCCUACGGGAGGCAGCAGUGAGGAAUAUUGGGCAAUGGGCGAAAGCCUGACCCAGCCACGCCGCGUGAGUGAUGAAGGCCCUCGGGUCGUAAAGCUCUGUGGAGAGGGACGAAAACCCUGGUUUCAAAUAGGCUCCAGGCUUGACGGUACCUCUUUAGCAAGCACCGGCUAACUCUGUG